CGGGUGUCUGGGGCGGACGGCAAGUUUACUUUGAACAAAUUUGAGCGCUCAAAGCAGGCCUAUGCCUGACAAUUCUUGCAUGGAAUAAUGGAAUAGGACUUCGGUUCUAUUUUGUUGGUUUUCGGAUCCGAAGUAAUGGUUAAGAGGGACAGACGGGGGCAUUUGUAUGGCGGUGUUAGAGGUGAAAUUCUAUGAUCAUCGCCAGACAAACUAAAGCGAAAGCAUUUGCCAAGGAUGUUUUCAUUAAUCUGGAGCCAAAGUCAGAGGUUCAAAGACGACCAGAUACCGUCGUAGUUCUGACCAUAAACGAUACCAACUGACGAUCCGUGGGUGCUCGUUCAUUGACCCCAUGGGCAGUCCCCGGGAAACCUUGAAGUCUUUGGGUUCCGGGGGAAGUAUGGUUGCAAAGCUGGAACUUAAAGGAAUUGACGGAAGGGCACCACCAGGAGUGGAGCGUGCGGUUCAAUUCGACUCAACACGGGAAAUCUCACCCGGCCCGGACACUGUGAGGAUUGACAGAUUGAGAGCUCUUUCUUGAUUCGGUGGUUGGUGGUGCAUGGCCGUUCUUAGUUGGUGGAGCGAUUUGUCUGGUUAAUUCCGAUAACGAACGAGACUUUGGCCUGCUAAAUAGUAUACCCGUCCUCUGCUCUUGUGCGGGUGGCGGUAGUGGUAGCCUUUCGGGGUGAUACUGCCGUACGCCGGCGAGGGCUGCGCGGGUCUAUACUUCUUAGAGGGACAAGCGGUUUUUAGCCGCACGAAAUUGAGCA
This 767-nucleotide ribosomal RNA is filed under the name Lecithodendriidae sp. PACaddis-2. Its description in RNAcentral is "SSU rRNA". It matches the Rfam family "Eukaryotic small subunit ribosomal RNA", at positions 727 to 1452 of the family's 1831-position model. Lineage: Eukaryota; Metazoa; Platyhelminthes; Trematoda; Plagiorchiida; Lecithodendriidae. The record is from RNAcentral.